ACUCAAUAGAUACCCUGGUAGUCCUGGCUGUAAACGGUGUGCGCUAGGUGUGCGCGGAUUCGACCCCGUGCGUGCCGAAAGGUAACCCAUUAAGCGCACCGCCUGGGGAGUACGGUCGCAAGAUUAAAACUCAAAGAAAUUGACGGGGGCCCGCACAAGCGGUGGAGUAUGUGGCUUAAUUCGAUGCAACGCGAAGAACCUUACCUGGGCUUGACAUGCUAGUGGUAGGACCCUGAAAGGGGAACGAUCUCGCAAGAGAAGCUAGCACAGGUGCUGCAUGGCUGUCGUCAGCUCGUGUCGUGAGAUGUUGGGUUUAAGUCCCGCAACGAGCGCAACCCCUAUGAUUAGUUGCUUCUCGCACUCUAAUCAGACUGCCCUGUGAAACGGGGUAGGAAGGUGGGGAUGACGUCAAGUCAGGAUGGCCCUUAC
RNAcentral lists this ribosomal RNA (429 nucleotides) under uncultured bacterium. RNAcentral describes it as "bacterial SSU rRNA". It matches the Rfam family "Bacterial small subunit ribosomal RNA", at positions 770 to 1205 of the family's 1533-position model. The record is from RNAcentral.